Long non-coding RNA from Beta vulgaris subsp. vulgaris (sugar beet), 843 nucleotides. RefSeq lists it as uncharacterized. The transcript is spliced from 2 exons. The record is from RefSeq and is a predicted model, not a curated record. NCBI's taxonomy places the organism in Eukaryota, Viridiplantae, Streptophyta, Magnoliopsida, Caryophyllales, Amaranthaceae.
UAUAAAGUCCAACUGAAAGAAAAGAAAGUCCAACUGAAAGAAAAGAAAGUCCAACUGAAAGAAAACAAAGUCCAACUGAAAGAAAAGAAAGGUCUAACUGAAAGAAAAAAAAGUCUAACUGAAAGAAAAGAAAGUCCAACUGAAAGAAAAUAAAGACCAACUAAAAAGAAAACAAAACACUAACCUCUGCUUUCUCUCACUUUUCAGGUUGUCUCCAUUUUUUUUCAGGUUGUCUCCAUUUGUUUUCAGGUAGUCUCCAAUAUCUUUCAGUUCCAUGAACUCUUCAACCAAAUAUCACCACAAACUUUUGAACGAUUCUUUUUAUUACUUGCUUUUUAUCCUUUUUGUCGAAUAUUGUGAUCUUAGUACUAAAGGAAAACAUACAUAUUUGGGGCCAUAAUGAACCUUCUUCAACCUCAAUCCUCAUUCUUUCCUCCCUUUUCUCUCUCCUCUGACUUCGAAAAUCAACCCUCUUUAGUAUCUCAAUCUCAUCAAUGGACAUCACAGAAAUAUCAAAGAAGCUCGGCCUCGCCGAUAAUAAACCCGUCAUCCGUAAAGCGGUGGAGUUUCGCCGUCUCUCCGAUGUCAAAUUCGACUCAUCCGCCAUUGGAGUUGAAUAAUGAUGGAAACUUCCUCUCCAUUGGGAAUGUGAAGAGGACUCUGGACUGAAAUUGAAGACAUUAAGACUUAAAAUCAAGCUAAGGGAAGACUAGCUAGAACUUGUUUCUAUUUAUUUUGUAAUUAAGAAACAUAAACUUGAUUUUGUGUAUUUUAUAGUCAAUGUAUUCGGCUACUCCGUGUAAGAACCAUGUUUAGAAAAUGUUGGUUCAUCAUUGAAUUCAA